Molecule: long non-coding RNA, 1200 nt
Filed under: Numida meleagris (helmeted guineafowl)
Lineage: Eukaryota; Metazoa; Chordata; Aves; Galliformes; Numididae
Description: lncRNA (ENSNMEG00000020291.1)
Source: RNAcentral
GGAUUUUAUAGACAACAUUAGCCUCUGAGGAGUUUACCCGAGGUAAUUUAUGUUCUAUUUGCAACUAAAGGAAAACUCUUAGAUGUUUGACAUCAUAAAACAGUAAAACAGGGAGAUUUAUUACAGGGGCAGAGAGAACAGGGCCCUUGAGCUGCUUUGUUUAUCAUAAAAAGUCAAGUUAAUCAGACGUGCACAUGUGCCUCCCAUAUUUUCUGCUUCAGUUUUGCUCCUGUGCUGCUCCUUGACAGGCACUGCAAGAUGUGAAGAGGCACCAAAAAAUAUUUGGACUCUGCAGUACGAAGAUUAUAUUUGUAUACCCUGAGGAUUUGCUUCUCCCUAUUGAGCUAACAUUAACAGAGAAGGGAUAUAUGUAAGGGAACUACAACUUCUCUCAACAAAGGGCUAUGUAGAAAAUCAGUUGGCUUAGUGAAAGUCUCUUCCUCUGCCUAGGGAGCUUUGCUCCCCGCUGUCCUGAGCCCAGCAGCCUUGCCUCUUCUUUGUGGGCUUUCUGCUGUCCUGAUGUUCCUCCUGCAUGUUUUCUCCAAAUCCCUCUGCAGGCUGCACAUGCAGGCAGCUGUAGUAGUUAAGUUGAGCUGAAACAACUGCCCAUCACCCAUCGUGCUCUGCAGAAAGAAUGAGUCCUGUGGGAAUUAGGGAAGCCGAGGGAGAAUGAAAGCAGGUGACAUAGCCCAUCGUGGGUCUGCUUGGGCUGUGAACAGCACCAAAAAAGGGAAAAGCAGCAAAUUGGUGCUCCUGGUGCAGCUGUGGGUGGUUAAGCAGCAAAGCCCAUAGGGCCUCCAUGUGAGUGCUCCCAGCUGCAGGAGGAGAGGAGUUGGGGGCAGUUUGUGCUUGGUGCUUCUGCUGGUCCUGUGGUCUCAAGCAGCAGGGGAAGAUACCCCUGGCUACCAAGGGCAUCCCCAGGGCCAGCACCCUACCAGCAGCUGCGCUCCAGCCUUGGGAACAACCCACUGCCUUAAACAAAUAUGGGCUGCAUGGAGAAAUGAGAACAUCUUUAACCACUCUGGAGGGAUGUAGGCCGUGCUUACAUGACUUGGAUGUUUACUUGAUGAACAGCGAACUGAUGUGGUCUCCUCGCUCCCUUCCAGCCCUUGGGAACCACUUGUGAAAUGAGUAGCAAUUGUUCUCUGCUCAAUUAGUCAUCUGUAAGUGAAUGCCUCGUGGUGGCCAUCCCCUGAGUGG